Molecule: ribosomal RNA, 450 nt
Filed under: uncultured bacterium
Lineage: Bacteria
Description: partial 16S ribosomal RNA
Rfam family: Bacterial small subunit ribosomal RNA
Source: RNAcentral
GUGGGGAAUCUUCCGCAAUGGACGAAAGUCUGACGGAGCAACGCCGCGUGAGUGAUGAAGGUCUUCGGAUUGUAAAGCUCUGUUAAUCGGGACGAAAGAGCCUAGUGUGAAUAAUGCUAGGAAGUGACGGUACCGGAAUAGAAAGCCACGGCUAACUACGUGCCAGCAGCCGCGGUAAUACGUAGGUGGCAAGCGGUGUCCGGAAUUAUUGGGCGUAAAGCGCGCGCAGGCGGAUCUGCCAGUCUGUCUUAAAAGUUCGGGGCUUAACCCCGUGAUGGGAUGGAAACUACAGAUCUAGAGUAUCGGAGAGGAAAGUGGAAUUCCUAGUGUAGCGGUGAAAUGCGUAGAUAUUAGGAAGAACACCAGUGGCGAAGGCGACUUUCUGGACGAAAACUGACGCUGAGGCGCGAAAGCCAGGGGAGCGAACGGGAUUAGAAACCCUGGUAGUCC